RNAcentral lists this ribosomal RNA (585 nucleotides) under uncultured bacterium. RNAcentral describes it as "bacterial SSU rRNA". It matches the Rfam family "Bacterial small subunit ribosomal RNA", at positions 338 to 916 of the family's 1533-position model. The record is from RNAcentral.
CCUACGGGAGGCAGCAGUAGGGAAUCUUCCACAAUGGGCGAAAGCCUGAUGGAGCAAUGCCGCGUGAGUGAGGAAGGCUUUCGGGUCGUAAAGCUCUGUUGCCAGGGAAGAAUAAGGAUGAGAGUAACUGCUCAUUCGAUGACGGUACCUGAGAAGAAAGCCCCGGCUAACUACGUGCCAGCAGCCGCGGUAAUACGUAGGGGGCAAGCGUUGUCCGGAUUUAUUGGGCGUAAAGCGCGCGCAGGCGGUUCUUUAAGUCUGGUGUCUAAGUGCGGGGCUCAACCCCGUGAUGCACUGGAAACUGGGGAACUUGAGUGCAGAAGAGGAGAGCGGAAUUCCACGUGUAGCGGUGAAAUGCGUAGAGAUGUGGAGGAACACCAGUGGCGAAGGCGGCUCUCUGGACUGUAACUGACGCUGAGGCGCGAAAGCGUGGGGAGCAAACAGGAUUAGAUACCCUGGUAGUCCACGCUGUAAACGAUGAGUGCUAGGUGUUGGGGGUAUCAUGCCCUCGGUGCCCAAAUUAACACAUUAAGCACUCCGCCUGGGGAGUACGGUCGCAAGACUGAAACUCAAAUGAAUUGACGG